This 392-nucleotide unclassified non-coding RNA is filed under the name soil metagenome. RNAcentral's name for it is "partial contains 5.8S ribosomal RNA, internal transcribed spacer 2, and large subunit ribosomal RNA". The stretch from base 1 to 122 matches the Rfam family "5.8S ribosomal RNA", at positions 35 to 154 of the family's 154-position model. The record is from RNAcentral.
GAUGAAGAACGUAGCGAAAUGCGAUACUUGGUGUGAAUUGCAGAAUCCCGUGAACCAUCGAGUCUUUGAACGCAAGUUGCGCCCGAAGCCAUUAGGCCGAGGGCACGCCUGCCUGGGCGUCACACGUCGUUGCCCCCCCCAUCUACUCCUUCGGGAUUGCGGGGGGCGGAUGAUGGCCUCCCGUGCGCCUCGCCGCGCGGUUGGCAUAAAUGCCAAGUCCUCGGCGACGCACGCCACGACAAUCGGUGGUUGCGAAACCUCGGUUGCCCGUCGUGUGCGGUCGUCGCGCAUCGAGGGCUCGAAAAAAUUGCCGAGUUCCGGCUCGGCUUUCAACGCGACCCCAGGUCAGGCGGGGUUACCCGCUGAAUUUAAGUAUAUCAAUAAGCGGAGGA